AAAAAGAGGGGCGGCCCCGGCACCACCGCGUAAUCGUAGGGUGCAAGCCGUUAUCCGGGAAUUAUUGGGCGUAAAGGGCUCGUAGGCGGUUCGUCGCGUCCGGUGUGAAAGUCCAUCGCUUAACGGUGGAUCCGCGCCGGGUACGGGCGGGCUUGAGUGCGGUAGGGGAGACUGGAAUUCCCGGUGUAACGGUGGAAUGUGUAGAUAUCGGGAAGAACACCAAUGGCGAAGGCAGGUCUCUGGGCCGUUACUGACGCUGAGGAGCGAAAGCGUGGGGAGCGAACAGGAUUAGAUACCCUGGUAGUCCACGCCGUAAACGGUGGAUGCUGGAUGUGGGGCCCGUUCCACGGGUUCCGUGUCGGAGCUAACGCGUUAAGCAUCCCGCCUGGGGAGUACGGCCGCAAGGCUAAAACUCAAAGAAAUUGACGGGGGCCCGCACAAGCGGCGGAGCAUGCGGAUUAAUUCGAUGCAACGCGAAGAACCUUACCUGGGCUUGACAUGUUCCCGACGACCCCAGAGAUGGGGUUUCCCUUCGGGGCGGGUUCACAGGUGGUGCAUGGUCGUCGUCAGCUCGUGUCGUGAGAUGUUGGGUUAAGUCCCGCAACGAGCGCAACCCUCGCCCCGUGUUGCCAGCGGAUUGUGCCGGGAACUCACGGGGGACCGCCGGGGUUAACUCGGAGGAAGGUGGGGAUGACGUCAGAUCAUCAUGCCCCUUACGUCCAGGGCUUCACGCAUGCUACAAUGGCCGGUACAACGGGAUGCGACAGCGCGAGCUGGAGCGGAUCCCUGAAAACCGGUCUCAGUUCGGAUCGCAGUCUGCAACUCGACUGCGUGAAGGCGGAGUCGCUAGUAAUCGCGAAUCAGCAACGUCGCGGGAAUCUCCCCCGGGCUCUU
This 894-nucleotide ribosomal RNA is filed under the name Bifidobacterium breve. Its description in RNAcentral is "bacterial SSU rRNA". It matches the Rfam family "Bacterial small subunit ribosomal RNA". The record is from RNAcentral. Lineage: Bacteria; Bacillati; Actinomycetota; Actinomycetes; Bifidobacteriales; Bifidobacteriaceae.